CAGUAGCCGCGGUAAAACGUAGGUGGCAAGCGUUGUCCGGAAUUAUUGGGCGUAAAGGGCUCGCAGGCGGUUUCUUAAGUCUGAUGUGAAAGCCCCCGGCUCAACCGGGGAGGGUCAUUGGAAACUGGGAAACUUGAGUGCAGAAGAGGAGAGUGAAAUUCCACGUGUAGCGGUGAAAUGCGUAGAGAUGUGGAGGAACACCAGUGGCGAAGGCGACUCUCUGGUCUGUAACUGACGCUGAGGAGCGAAAGCGUGGGGAGCGAACAGGAUUAGAUACCCCAGUAGUCCCUGUCUCUUAUAA
This 301-nucleotide ribosomal RNA is filed under the name uncultured bacterium. Its description in RNAcentral is "partial 16S ribosomal RNA". It matches the Rfam family "Bacterial small subunit ribosomal RNA", at positions 509 to 809 of the family's 1533-position model. The record is from RNAcentral.